This 301-nucleotide ribosomal RNA is filed under the name uncultured bacterium. RNAcentral describes it as "partial 16S ribosomal RNA". It matches the Rfam family "Bacterial small subunit ribosomal RNA", at positions 509 to 807 of the family's 1533-position model. The record is from RNAcentral.
CAGUAGCCGCGGUAAUACGAAGGGUGUAAGCGUUACUCGGAAUUACUGGGCGUAAAGCGUGCGUAGGUGGUGGUUUAAGUCCGUUGUGAAGGCCCUGGGCUCAACCUGGGAAUUGCAGUGGAUACUGGAUCACUAGAGUGUGGUAGAGGAUAGUGGAAUUUCCGGUGUAGCAGUGAAAUGCGUAGAGAUCGGAAGGAACAUCUGUGGCGAAGGCGACUAUCUGGGCCAACACUGACACUGAGGCACGAAAGCGUGGGGAGCAAACAGGAUUAGAUACCCGAGUAGUCCCUGUCUCUUAUAC